RNAcentral lists this ribosomal RNA (463 nucleotides) under uncultured bacterium. RNAcentral's name for it is "partial 16S ribosomal RNA". It matches the Rfam family "Bacterial small subunit ribosomal RNA", at positions 29 to 507 of the family's 1533-position model. The record is from RNAcentral.
ACGAACGCUGGCGGCGUGCUUAACACAUGCAAGUCGAGCGGAAAGGCCCUUUCGGGGGUACUCGAGCGGCGAACGGGUGAGUAACACGUGAGUAAUCUGCCCUUCACUUGGGGAUAACCUCCGGAAACGGUGGCUAAUACCCGAUACGACCAUUCCUCGCAUGAGGUGGUGGUGGAAAGUUUUUCGGUGGGGGAUGUGCUCGCGGCCUAUCAGCUUGUUGGUGGGGUAAUGGCCUACCAAGGCUUCGACGGGUAGCCGGCCUGAGAGGGUGACCGGCCACACUGGGACUGAGACACGGCCCAGACUCCUACGGGAGGCAGCAGUGGGGAAUAUUGGACAAUGGGCGGAAGCCUGAUCCAGCAACGCCGCGUGAGGGAUGACGGCCUUCGGGUUGUAAACCUCUUUCACCUGUGACGAAGCGAAAGUGACGGUAGCAGGAGAAGAAGCACCGGCCAACUACGUG